GAUGAACGCUGGCGGCGUGCCUAAUACAUGCAAGUCGAGCGAACAGAUAAGGAGCUUGCUCCUUUGACGUUAGCGGCGGACGGGUGAGUAACACGUGGGUAACCUACCUAUAAGACUGGGAUAACUUCGGGAAACCGGAGCUAAUACCGGAUAACAUUUGGAUCCGCAUGGUUCUAAAGUGAAAGAUGGUUUUGCUAUCACUUAUAGAUGGACCCGCGCUGUAUUAGCUAGUUGGUAAGGUAACGGCUUACCAAGGCAACGAUACGUAGCCGACCUGAGAGGGUGAUCGGCCACACUGGAACUGAGACACGGUCCAGACUCCUACGGGAGGCAGCAGUAGGGAAUCUUCCGCAAUGGGCGAAAGCCUGACGGAGCAACGCCGCGUGAGUGAUGAAGGGUUUCGGCUCGUAAAACUCUGUUAUUAGGGAAGAACAAAUGUGUAAGUAACUGUGCACGUCUUGACGGUACCUAAUCAGAAAGCCACGGCUAACUACGUG
This 497-nucleotide ribosomal RNA is filed under the name uncultured bacterium. RNAcentral's name for it is "partial 16S ribosomal RNA". It matches the Rfam family "Bacterial small subunit ribosomal RNA", at positions 28 to 507 of the family's 1533-position model. The record is from RNAcentral.